CAAGGUAACGAUCCGUAGCUGGUCUGAGAGGACGAUCAGCCACACUGGGACUGAGAUACGGCCCAGACUCCUACGGGAGGCAGCAGUGGGGAAUAUUGGACAAUGGGGGAAACCCUGAUCCAGUCAUGCCGCGUGUGUGAAGAAGGCCUUAGGGUUGUAAAGCACUUUCAGCGAGGAAGAAAAAUUAUAAAAGAAUAAAUUAUAAGUAUGACGUUACUCGCAGAAGAAGCACCGGCUAACUCCGUGCCAGCAGCCGCGGUAAAACGGAGGGUGCAAGCGUUAAUCGGAAUUACUGGGCGUAAAGGGCAUGUAGGUGGUUUGUUAAGCCUUAUGUGAAAGCCCUAGGCUUAACCUAGGAAAUGGAUAAGGAACUGACAAGCUAGAGUGCAGUAGAGGAAGGUAGAAUUCCAGGUGUAGCGGUGAAAUGCGUAGAUAUCUGGAGGAAUACCAGUGGCGAAGGCGACCUUCUGGACUGACACUGACGCUGAGGUGCGAAAGCGUGGGUAGCAAACAGGAUUAGAUACCCUGGUAGUCCACGCUGUAAACGAUAUCAACUAGCCGUUGGGUUAUUAAAUAAUUUGGUGGCGUAGCUAACGCGAUAAGUUGAUCGCCUGGGGAGUACGGCCGCAAGGCUAAAACUCAAAUGAAUUGACGGGGGCCCGCACAAGCGGUGGAGCAUGUGGUUUAAUUCGAUGCAACGCGAAGAACCUUACCUACUCUUGACAUCCAAAGUACUUUCCAGAGAUGGAAGGGUGCCUUAGGGAACUUUGAGACAGGUGCUGCAUGGCUGUCGUCAGCUCGUGUUGUGAAAUGUUGGGUUAAGUCCCGUAACGAGCGCAACCCUUGUCCUUAUUUGCCAGCGCGUAAUGGUGGGAACUUUAAGGAGACUGCUGGUGAUAAACCGGAGGAAGGUGGGGACGACGUCAAGUCAUCAUGGCCCUUAAGAGUAGGGCUACACACGUGCUACAAUGGCAAA
RNAcentral lists this ribosomal RNA (976 nucleotides) under Candidatus Portiera aleyrodidarum (primary endosymbiont of Bemisia tabaci). RNAcentral describes it as "bacterial SSU rRNA". It matches the Rfam family "Bacterial small subunit ribosomal RNA", at positions 269 to 1237 of the family's 1533-position model. The record is from RNAcentral. Lineage: Bacteria; Pseudomonadati; Pseudomonadota; Gammaproteobacteria; Johnevansiales (SeqCode); Johnevansiaceae (SeqCode).